Molecule: ribosomal RNA, 445 nt
Filed under: uncultured bacterium
Lineage: Bacteria
Description: partial 16S ribosomal RNA
Rfam family: Bacterial small subunit ribosomal RNA
Source: RNAcentral
GUGAGGAAUAUUGGUCAAUGGGCGGGAGCCUGAACCAGCCAAGUCGCGUGAAGGAAGAAGGAUCUAUGGUUCGUAAACUUCUUUUGCAGGGGAAUAAAGUGCAGGACGUGUCCUGUUUUGUAUGUACCCUGAGAAUAAGGAUCGGCUAACUCCGUGCCAGCAGCCGCGGUAAUACGGAGGAUCCGAUCGUUAUCCGGAUUUAUUGGGUUUAAAGGGUGCGUAGGUGGUUUGAUAAGUCAGCGGUGAAAGUUUGCAGCUUAACUGUAAAAAUGCCGUUGAAACUGUCGGACUUGAGUGUAAAUGAGGUAGGCGGAAUGCGUGGUGUAGCGGUGAAAUGCAUAGAUAUCACGCAGAACUCCGAUUGCGAAGGCAGCUUACUAAGCUACAACUGACACUGAAGCACGAAAGCGUGGGGAUCAAACAGGAUUAGAAACCCGAGUAGUCC